RNAcentral lists this unclassified non-coding RNA (1967 nucleotides) under Hevea brasiliensis (rubber tree). Lineage: Eukaryota; Viridiplantae; Streptophyta; Magnoliopsida; Malpighiales; Euphorbiaceae. The record is from RNAcentral.
UUUUUUUUUUUUUUUUUUUUCUAUUUUUUCCGUUUAGAUCCUUAUCCCCACCCCCAUGUUUACUUUCUUUCUUUAAAUGAUCAGGAAAAUUCGCAACAUAAUUAGAAAACACUAACUUCAAUCAAAGACUGAAUAAUCAGCUUGAGCAAGUUAGUCAUCAGAUGGGCAUGAGUCCUUGCAGGCAAGAGGUUUGGGUUUCGUGGAAUCCCCUUUCUGGUAGAAGCUUUAAGGUGAAUAGUAAUGGAGCUGUGCAGACUAAUAAAAAUGCCUAUGGUGAAGGUUUAAUCAGGGACUCUUGUGGGAAUUGUGUAGGAGGUUUGGUGACCAACUGGGGGUGUUCAAUGCAUGGCAAAGAUAAGGGCUCCUUACAGGGGGCUGCUUUUAGCCAGAAGGUUAAAUGUUGAGAACUUGCGGGUUGAUUGUGAUGGUCAAACUGUUGUGGAGUCGAUCUAAAGUUGUACAGAUCCUCCUGGCAGUGUGAGAACUUUGCUUUCUGCGGUGAAGGAUUUGCUGCAGAGUUAUCGGAGGUUGAAGGUGGAUAAUGUGUGGAGGAAAGCAAACUUUAAUGCCGACUUCCUUGCUUCGUUUGCUUCGAAUUUUUCAGUGGAAGUUCAUGAAUUGGUGUAGACUCCUCAAGAUCUCUGCUUUUGGCUUCGGCAUGUCCAGUGUGGCAUUGCGUACCUGCGGGCUUGUUUGGUUUAGUGUUGUGUUUUGAGCUUUGAUACUCCCCUUUUGUUGGCCCCCCACGAAAAAAACACUGACCAAUCAGCACAAACAGUUCAAACAUACUAAAAUAUUAACAUAUAGAAUCAUAAAAGAUGUAAAUAAUUCUCCCAAUUAUUUAAAUAUUUUGCCCUUCUAAAAGAACCUUUGACUUUGCAAUCAUAUGAUCAUAUUUUUGUCUCCAUUGUUUGAAGAAGUGUAACGAGACCAUUGCUUGCCCAAGCAAUAAGCAUUGUUUUUUUCUCAAAAGCAGUAAGCAUUGUUUUAGAUAAAUUUCAUCUUUUGAUAUAACAUACGCUUUACUUUUCUAGCCAGAGCAUCAAGCAUUGUUUUAGAGCAUCAAAAUAAGAGCGAUCUUGUUCUAUAUAUGGAAGUGUGCUCUUUGGUAGAGCUUCAUACCUAGAUGAUAAUAUUUUGCUACUUGAUUCCUUUAAACUUCAAAAUUCAUGAGAUAAAUGUUUUAAGGCCAAAAAAGCCUAGAUAUCAAUUUGGCAAUAGACCAUGAACAUUCUCACGUCUGUUCCAAAAUCCAAACAAACUAAAAAGAACAAAAAGACAAUACAGCUACCCCAGUACAAAACCUAAAAACGACUCUUAUAUAAGUAAGAUCUCAAUUUAACUAUUCCACCUUGCCCCCACCACCAAGAAGCAUACCACUUAUGUGUUGCUGGGAUACAUGAAGACUCUAACCCUGUCUCCCUGUUAAAUAAAAAAAAAUGCAUAAAACUUAUUCAUAACCAAAUUUCACAGGCCAAAUGCGCAAAUUCCAAUUACCAUAGAUCUGGGAGGGAGGUUAGACUUGAACUUGGCACGAACAACACCACUGUUACCGUGCGGCCUAGUGACUUUGCCCCAAAUGCAGCGAUAGUGGGUACCAUUCUUCUUAACCUUAGCCUUGUAUACAUAGGCCAUACGCUUACCACAGUACCAAUUUACCUCCUCCUUGGUGUUCACGCCCUCGAUCUGUAUCAGAGACGUGUUUGGGUACUGGUUCGACUUGGACCUCUUGUAUCCGAGAAUAGUUCCUCGAACAUAGAGUCUGCGAAAAACAAACUAGAACAAUUGAGCAUGGGCUUCAAAAGAGUAUACCCAAACUGUGAAAGAAUAUUCAUGGAAGAGAUGGUUCAGGACCUGACAUUCUCUCCUUGGCGGCUCUUCACCAUUUUCGGCUCCGGCUGAGGCUCUGCUUCUGGAGUGCGGGAACGAUAACCCUAGCAGCACACGGAAGAGAGUGAAACAGUAGG